Molecule: transfer RNA, 70 nt
Filed under: Dipodomys ordii (Ord's kangaroo rat)
Lineage: Eukaryota; Metazoa; Chordata; Mammalia; Rodentia; Heteromyidae
Rfam family: tRNA
About the family: Transfer RNA (tRNA) molecules are approximately 80 nucleotides in length. Their secondary structure includes four short double-helical elements and three loops (D, anti-codon, and T loops).
Source: Rfam by way of RNAcentral
GGGAAAGUGGCUCAGUGGUAGAGUGCUUGCCUCACAUGCAUGAGGUUCUGGGUUCAAUUCCUCAGCACCA